AGUUAGUUAAUUUAAUAAAAAUAUCAAUUUGUGACAUUGAAAAUAAUGAAUAUCAUUACUAACUC
Molecule: transfer RNA, 65 nt
Filed under: Protelpidia murrayi
Lineage: Eukaryota; Metazoa; Echinodermata; Holothuroidea; Elasipodida; Elpidiidae
Also listed under: 4 other names
Description: tRNA-His
Source: RNAcentral